AAAUUUUAACAUUAUUUUAGCACCAAACGCUGACUUCAGUUAGUCUCAGUGACACAAGCUUAGGAUGAAGGCUCUUAGGCAAAGUAAUACAAAAAUAGAAAUUGUUGUAUAUGCUCACGAGCAGGCAAAAAACGUUGAACAGCUUUCCUUUCUCCAUCUCAUUACUAGAAAUAUGAAGAAGCUAAAGACCGUGGAUGUGAUAAAAUUAUUGUAUAUAAUUUAUUACUUUCUCCCUUCCUUAUUAAUUGAUCUUUUCAAAAGAAAAUUGUUUCAAAAAAUUGAUUUUUUAGGU
Molecule: small RNA, 292 nt
Filed under: Arabidopsis thaliana (thale cress)
Lineage: Eukaryota; Viridiplantae; Streptophyta; Magnoliopsida; Brassicales; Brassicaceae
Description: ATSL239180
Source: RNAcentral